CCUACGGGAGGCUGCAGUGGGGAAUAUUGGACAAUGGGGGGAACCCUGAUCCAGCCAUGCCGCGUGUGUGAAGAAGGCCCUCGGGUUGUAAAGCACUUUCAGUGAGGAAGAACGCCUGGUGGUUAAUACCCAUCAGGAAAGACAUCACUCACAGAAGAAGCACCGGCUAACUCCGUGCCAGCAGCCGCGGUAAUACGGAGGGUGCGAGCGUUAAUCGGAAUUACUGGGCGUAAAGCGCGCGUAGGUGGCUUGAUAAGCCGGUUGUGAAAGCCCCGGGCUCAACCUGGGAACGGCAUCCGGAACUGUCAAGCUAGAGUGCAGGAGAGGAAGGUAGAAUUCCCGGUGUAGCGGUGAAAUGCGUAGAGAUCGGGAGGAAUAACAGUGGCGAAGGCGGCCUUCUGGACUGACACUGACACUGAGGUGCGAAAGCGUGGGUAGCAAACAGGAUUAGAUACCCCUGUAGUC
This 465-nucleotide ribosomal RNA is filed under the name Vreelandella stevensii. RNAcentral describes it as "partial 16S ribosomal RNA". It matches the Rfam family "Bacterial small subunit ribosomal RNA", at positions 338 to 795 of the family's 1533-position model. The record is from RNAcentral. Lineage: Bacteria; Pseudomonadati; Pseudomonadota; Gammaproteobacteria; Oceanospirillales; Halomonadaceae.